This 299-nucleotide unclassified non-coding RNA is filed under the name Hevea brasiliensis (rubber tree). Lineage: Eukaryota; Viridiplantae; Streptophyta; Magnoliopsida; Malpighiales; Euphorbiaceae. The record is from RNAcentral.
AUUGAGAGAGAGAAUCUUGAUUUGAUGUCUCUAAAAUUUCGUGUCCUUGAUGAAGCUGAUGAAAUGCUUAAUAUGGGAUUUGUUGAUGAUGUUGAACUUAUUCUUGGGAAGGUUGCUGAUGUACGUAAAGUGCAGACACUCCUCUUUAGUGCAACCCUACCUGAAUGGGUGAAGAAGAUUUCUGCAAGGUUUCUAAAACCCGAUAAAAAAACUGCUGAUCUUGUUGGGAAUGAGAAAUUAAAGGCCAGUGCCAGUGUCAGACAUCUUGUUCUUCCCUGUUUUCGCACUGCAAGACCACA